This 1348-nucleotide ribosomal RNA is filed under the name metagenome. RNAcentral's name for it is "bacterial LSU rRNA". It matches the Rfam family "Bacterial large subunit ribosomal RNA", at positions 1564 to 2925 of the family's 2925-position model. The record is from RNAcentral.
UGAGUGCGAGCUGCUACGGCAGCGAAGUUGGUGACGUCAUGCUUCCAAGAAAAGCCCUAUACCCGUUAAGGCAUCAUGGCCUGUACCCGAAACCGACACAGGUGGGGUGGUAGAGAAUACCGUGGGGCGCGAGGUAACUCUCUCUAAGGAACUCGGCAAAAUGGCCCCGUAACUUCGGGAGAAGGGGUGCCACCUCAAGGUGGUCGCAGUGAAGAGGCCCAGGCGACUGUUUACCAAAAACACAGGUCUCCGCUAAGUCGCAAGACGAUGUAUGGGGGCUGACGCCUGCCCAGUGCCGGAAGGUUAAGGAAGCUGGUCAGCGCAAGCGAAGCUAGCGACUGAAGCCCCGGUGAACGGCGGCCGUAACUAUAACGGUCCUAAGGUAGCGAAAUUCCUUGUCGGGUAAGUUCCGACCCGCACGAAAGGCGUAACGAUCUGGGCGCUGUCUCGGAGAGAGGCUCGGCGAAAUAGAAUUGUCUGUGAAGAUGCGGACUACGUGCACCCGGACAGAAAGACCCUAUGAAGCUUUACUGUAGCUUGGUACUGUGCCCGGGCUCGCAAUGCGCAGGAUAGGUGGGAGGCUUUGAUCAUCGGCUUGCGGGUCGAUGUGAGCCAACGGUGAGAUACCACUCUUUGCGAGCUAGGGUUCUAACGGCCACCCGUCAUCCGGGGGCCGGACAGUACCUGGUGGGCAGUUUGACUGGGGCGGUCGCCUCCUAAAAGGUAGCGGAGGCGCGCAAGGUUCGCUCAGGCUGGUUGGAAAUCAGCCGACGAGUGUAAAAGCAGAAGCAAGCUUGACUGUGAGACCAACAAGUCGAACAGGGAGGAAACUCGGCUUUAGUGAUCCGACGGUUCUGAGUGGAAGGGCCGUCGCUCAACGGAUAAAAGUUACUCUAGGAUAACAGGCUGAUCUCCCCCAAGAGUUCACAUCGACGGGGAGGUUUGGCACCUCGAUGUCGGCUCAUCGCAACCUGGGGCUGAAGUCGGUCCCAAGGGUUGGGCUGUUCGCCCAUUAAAGCGGUACGCGAGUUGGGUUCAGAACGUCGUGAGACAGUUCGGUCCAUAUCCGGUGCACGCGCAGGAAUAUUGAGAGGAUUUCUCCCUAGUACGAGAGGACCGGGAGGAACGCACCUCUGGUGUACCAGUUAUCGUGCCAACGGUAAACGCUGGGUAGCCAUGUGCGGAGUGGAUAACCGCUGAAAGCAUCUAAGUGGGAAGCCCACCUCAAGAUGAGUAUUCCCAUGGCGUAAGCCAGUAAGGUCACGGGAAGAACACCCGUUGAUAGGCUCUAUGUGGAAGCGCAGUAAUGCGUGAAGCAGAGGAGUACUAAUAGACCGAGGGCUUGACC